ACAGCAGCCGCCGCGGUAAUACGGAGGGUGCAAGCGUUAAUCGGAAUUACUGGGCGUAAAGCGUGCGUAGGCGGUUCGUUAAGUCUGUUGUGAAAGCCCCGGGCUCAACCUGGGAAUGGCAAUGGAUACUGGCGAGCUAGAGUGUGUCAGAGGAUGGUGGAAUUCCCGGUGUAGCGGUGAAAUGCGUAGAGAUCGGGAGGAACAUCAGUGGCGAAGGCGGCCAUCUGGGACAACACUGACGCUGAGGCACGAAAGCGUGGGGAGCAAACAGGAUUAGAUACCCCAGUAGUCCCUGUCUCUUAUAC
This 305-nucleotide ribosomal RNA is filed under the name uncultured bacterium. Its description in RNAcentral is "partial 16S ribosomal RNA". It matches the Rfam family "Bacterial small subunit ribosomal RNA", at positions 508 to 807 of the family's 1533-position model. The record is from RNAcentral.